This 1350-nucleotide ribosomal RNA is filed under the name Arcanobacterium sp. RNAcentral describes it as "16S ribosomal RNA". It matches the Rfam family "Bacterial small subunit ribosomal RNA", at positions 15 to 1373 of the family's 1533-position model. The record is from RNAcentral. Lineage: Bacteria; Bacillati; Actinomycetota; Actinomycetes; Actinomycetales; Actinomycetaceae.
GAUCCUGGCUCAGGACGAACGCUGGCGGCGUGCUUAACACAUGCAAGUCGAACGAUGAAGCUGGGAGCUUGGUUUUGGUGGAUUAGUGGCGAACGGGUGAGUAAUACGUGAGUAACCUGCCCCNUUCUUUGGGAUAANCCUGGGAAACUGGGUCUAAUACUGAAUAUUCUGCGUCUGCCGCAUGGUGGGUGUUGGAAAGGGUUUUUCUGGUGGGGGAUGGGCUCGCGGCCUAUCAGCUUGUUGGUGGGGUGAUGGCNUACCAAGGCGUCGACGGGUAGCCGGCCUGAGAGGGUGACCGGCCACAUUGGGANUGAGAUACGGCCCAGANUCNUACGGGAGGCAGCAGUGGGGAAUAUUGCACAAUGGACGCAANUCUGAUGCAGCGACGCCGCGUGGGGGAUGAAGGCUUUCGGGUUGUAAACUCCUUUUAACACUGAAGAAGCGUUGAGUGACGGUAGGUGUUGAAUAAGCGCCGGCUAACUACGUGCCAGCAGCCGCGGUAAUACGUAGGGCGCGAGCGUUGUCCGGAAUUAUUGGGCGUAAAGAGCUCGUAGGCGGUUUGUCGCGUCUGCUGUGAAAGAUCGGGGCUUAACUCCGGGGCUGCAGUGGGUACGGGCAGACUAGAGUGCGGUAGGGGUAGCUGGAAUUCCUGGUGUAGCGGUGGAAUGCGCAGAUAUCAGGAGGAACACCGAUGGCGAAGGCAGGUUACUGGGCCGUUACUGACGCUGAGGAGCGAAAGAUGGGAGCGAACAGGAUUAGAUACCCUGGUAGUCCAUGCCGUAAACGUUGGGCACUAGGUGUGGGGCCUUUUCCAUGGGUUCUGCGCCGUAGCUAACGCAUUAAGUGCCCCGCCUGGGGAGUACGGCCGCAAGCCUAAAACUCAAAGGAAUUGACGGGGGCCCGCACAAGCGGCGGAGCAUGCGGAUUAAUUCGAUGCAACGCGAAGAACCUUACCAAGGCUUGACAUGCACCGGGAUCAUGCAGAGAUGUGUGAGUCUUCGGACUGGUGUACAGGUGGUGCAUGGUUGUCGUCAGCUCGUGUCGUGAGAUGUUGGGUUAAGUCCCGCAACGAGCGCAANCCUUGUCUUGUGUUGCCAGCACGUUAUGGUGGGGACUCACGAGAGACUGCCGGGGUUAACUCGGAGGAAGGUGGGGAUGACGUCAAUCAUCAUGCCCCUUAUGUCUUGGGCUUCACGCAUGCUACAAUGGCUGGUACAGAGGGUUGCGAUCCUGUGAGGGUGAGCGAAUCCCUUAAAGCCAGUCUCAGUUCGGAUUGGGGUCUGCANCUCGACCCCAUGAAGUCGGAGUCGCUAGUAAUCGCAGAUCAGCAACGCUGCGGUGAAUACGUUC